This 429-nucleotide ribosomal RNA is filed under the name Bacteroidota bacterium. RNAcentral describes it as "Bacteroidetes bacterium partial 16S ribosomal RNA". It matches the Rfam family "Bacterial small subunit ribosomal RNA", at positions 355 to 776 of the family's 1533-position model. Lineage: Bacteria; Pseudomonadati; Bacteroidota. The record is from RNAcentral.
UAGGGAAUCUUCCGCAAUGGACGCAAGUCUGACGGAGCAACGCCGCGUGAGUGAAGAAGGAUUUCGGUUCGUAAAACUCUGUUGUUAGAGAAGAACAGCGCAUAGAGUAACUGUUAUGCGUGUGACGGUAUCUAACCAGAAAGCCACGGCUAACUACGUGCCAGCAGCCGCGGUAAUACGUAGGUGGCAAGCGUUGUCCGGAUUUAUUGGGCGUAAAGCGAGCGCAGGCGGUCAAUUAAGUCUGAUGUGAAAGCCCCCGGCUCAACCGGGGAGGGUCAUUGGAAACUGGUUGACUUGAGUGCAGAAGAGGAGAGUGGAAUUCCAUGUGUAGCGGUGAAAUGCGUAGAUAUAUGGAGGAACACCAGUGGCGAAGGCGACUCUCUGGUCUGUAACUGACGAUGAGGCUCGAAAGCGUGGGUAGCAAACAGG